Long non-coding RNA from Drosophila willistoni, 1124 nucleotides. RefSeq lists it as uncharacterized. The record is from RefSeq and is a predicted model, not a curated record. The transcript is spliced from 3 exons. Lineage: Eukaryota; Metazoa; Arthropoda; Insecta; Diptera; Drosophilidae.
AUCCAUACUAUUCCUCUCCUUAUCCCUGGCUUCGGCACAUGUCAUCGACUACUCGCGUGCCAAGUACAUUCCCAUCGUCGACGGCGAAAUCUUGGUAUGGGAGAAAUACGCCUAUGCUUGGUACUCGGCAAACCUCUCCGAGUACGCGCGAAUGGUGGAAGAAACAGUCAAAUUAAUUCCUGUAAACAAUGUAAUACUAUAAAAGUAACCAAAACCCAAUCCGUCCAUUCGGGCAGCUCAGACGUUGAAAGAUUUACUGAGAAGAAAAGGGCCACAACUGAAAAAAAAAAAAGAGAUAAAGCCAGUAACUUUGGCUUUUCAGAAGCCGGUGCACCAGCAGAGCUGCAGCAGAGUCAAGUCAAGUAGUCUAGUAUAACAGCGAAUUCGCAUUGACGACUUCAAUUGCUUUAUUAUUGUGAUAUUAUUCAACUGAGAUCAGGGAAAAAAUAAGAUGGGGGUGUUAUUAUGUGAAAUGUAUGAAGAAACUUACUUGCCAAGGUGUGACACACAUUUCCAACUAACCAAUGAAACCAAUUAAAGCAUGGUCGGCUUUUAUCAUUCGGUCCUGGACGAAAAAAAGGUCCAAUUGGUUGUAUAAAGCAUAAAAUAAUCGUCAUCAGUCCCAAUAUUGAGUGAGCAUGCCAGACAGCUUGCUUUAAUUCCACCCAAAUAGAAACCAAGCCGAAUACACUCUGAUGGCCCACCCAUGUGUGCUUAAAGUAUCGAGCGAAUUUUACACCCAGCGACGUAGUGCCUAUCCAGGCAGUAAUCAUAAAUGCUCCAUGAAGGCGGACCAAGACCAUUUUGCUACCACCUAAAUCCUGGACUACAGCCAAAUUGAUGCGAUUACCAGAUGGAGAGCAUCCUAUAUCAUGAAAGCCUAUACCAGUAUCCUUUAAGGUAGUUCCUGAAGCUAAAAGUAAGUGAUACUUGUCAUUCCUUAAGUCAAAAGUGCGACCUUGAACGGUUAUUAAAGGGUCGCGUUGUACUUUACAAUAGAUAACACCAUCCACAAACGAAGCAUUUAUAAGAUGAGCAGAAUUUUGGAACUGAAAAAAAACAAAGUCUUUUAUAAAUAUUAACACUUUGUGCUUAUGGGGAAUGUCCUUUAAUCAAUCUUUUAU